CAAGCGUAUACACGAAGCAGUAACCGGAGAAGAGUACGUCAGCGACUACGACGGAGAUGACAGUCUUUCAACCUCCGGACCCUCCGAAGACGAAGGCUCGUAGCUUGAACCAGAGAUUGUAGGGUGACUUCAAGAGCUGCGAUCAGCUACUGGAUCUUCUCUAUCUCAGUCACCUCAAUCUCUUCCGGCGUUCGUAACCUCUCCCUUUCUCUUUCUCUUUCUCUCUAUAAAACUCCUCUCUCGCUCUCCUCUGUUUUGGUGAGGAAAACGAUGAUCGUAACGGCCUGUGGGACCGACUCCCUUUUAUAACAAUCUUCACUUGCCAGCUCAGCUGAGCUGUAGACCAGAUUCUUUUUAUCACGAACCGGCCCAUUACUUGUUGAACAAACUCGUCACAAUCUCGAAAGGCCCAAAGACUUAGACCUGAUACGACACCGUUCUUCACAAAUCUCCACCUUGUCGAAUUAGGUCUUUCAAACAAAACCUUUCUGCCGAACACUGUUCAUACCAGAAUCGACAAAUCAUGUCGGAAUCACCACAGAACAGCCACACCGGCUCAAACAGCCAUACUCAGACAAAUCCUGAACUCAGUCUCCACCUUCUCCGGUGAACAGCCCAGACCCUCUCUUGUUCAUUCCAGAUCGAGAACCUUCCCCGACACUAACUCUCCCAGCUGAUUUCACAAACCCAAAUCCACUCCCUGCCCCUCUGCAGAAUAUCCCAGAAGAACAGACAAUAAUAAACCCUUCUGAUCCCUCAGCAACCCAGCCACACAGAUUAACCAACCUCGAAUACUACAACGAGAACCUGAACCUCUUCGACGAAGAUCCACUAACCCCCUCAUAAGUCUUUUAUUAAUCUGUUAGUUAACCUUGUUGUUUUGUCAAGAUCAAACCACUAACAAGUUUGUCUCUUACUUUUCCAUGAACUCCUUCCAACAAGACGAUCAAACAACAUAACCAUCUCGAGGUAUCUCAAUGCACGCUCAGGCAACGACCCCCAGCGUUACAAGAUGCUUCUCGAACGUGUUACCAGCUAUUACAAGCGUAUACACGAAGCAGUAACCGGAGAGGAGUACGUCAGCGACUACGACGGAGAUGACAGUCUUUCAGCCUCCGGAUCCUCCGAAGAUGAAGGCUCGUAGCUUGAACCAGAGAUUGUACGGUGACUUUAAGAGUUGCGAUCAACUACUGGAUCUUCUCUAUCUCAGUCGCCUCAAUCUCUUCUGGCGUUCGUAACCUUUCUCUUU
Molecule: long non-coding RNA, 1249 nt
Organism: Brassica oleracea var. oleracea
Lineage: Eukaryota; Viridiplantae; Streptophyta; Magnoliopsida; Brassicales; Brassicaceae
Exons: 3
Source: RefSeq, a predicted model, not a curated record